This 496-nucleotide ribosomal RNA is filed under the name uncultured bacterium. Its description in RNAcentral is "partial 16S ribosomal RNA". It matches the Rfam family "Bacterial small subunit ribosomal RNA", at positions 29 to 507 of the family's 1533-position model. The record is from RNAcentral.
AUGAACGCUGGCGGCGUGCCUAAUACAUGCAAGUCGAGCGAACGGACGAGAAGCUUGCUUCUCUGAUGUUAGCGGCGGACGGGUGAGUAACACGUGGAUAACCUACCUAUAAGACUGGGAUAACUUCGGGAAACCGUAGCUAAUACCGGAUAAUAUUUUGAACCGCAUGGUUCAAAAGUUAAAGACGGUCUUGCUGUCACUUAUAGAUGGAUCCGCGCUGCAUUAGCUAGUUGGUAAGGUAACGGCUUACCAAGGCAACGAUGCAUAGCCGACCUGAGAGGGUGAUCGGCCACACUGGAACUGAGACACGGUCCAGACUCCUACGGGAGGCAGCAGUAGGGAAUCUUCCGCAAUGGGCGAAAGCCUGACGGAGCAACGCCGCGUGAGUGAUGAAGGUCUUCGGAUCGUAAAACUCUGUUAUUAGGGAAGAACAUAUGUGUAAGUAACUGUGCACAUCUUGACGGUACCUAAUCAGAAAGCCACGGCUAACUACGUG